Molecule: unclassified non-coding RNA, 98 nt
Organism: Cavia porcellus (domestic guinea pig)
Lineage: Eukaryota; Metazoa; Chordata; Mammalia; Rodentia; Caviidae
Rfam family: Y RNA
About the family: Y RNAs are components of the Ro ribonucleoprotein particle (Ro RNP), in association with Ro60 and La proteins.
Source: Ensembl
GGCUGGUCUGAUGGCAGUGGGUUAUCAGAACUUAUUAACAUUAGUGUCACUAAAGUUGGUAUACCACCCCCCCCACUGCUAAAUUUGACUGGCUUUUA